Long non-coding RNA from Prionailurus viverrinus (fishing cat), 3178 nucleotides. RefSeq lists it as uncharacterized. The record is from RefSeq and is a predicted model, not a curated record. The transcript is spliced from 3 exons. Lineage: Eukaryota; Metazoa; Chordata; Mammalia; Carnivora; Felidae.
GGUGUGAUAGAGAUCACUGAUGAAUAAGAAUAGUACAAAAAAUAACCAAUACUUACUGAGGGCUCACUUUGUGCCAGUGCCUACCCUUGAUGACCUUGUGAAAUUCACAACAGCUCUACAAGGGAGGUGUCAUUUUGAGAAGGAAACCUAGGCUCAGAGAGGCUGAGUCACUUGCCCAAGGUUGUGCGGCUCUUCAGAGCCGGAGCCAGGAGUCAAAUGCGAGAGGCUAAACCUUAGGGCCCAAGUUCUUGAGGCAGACAGGGGCCCAGUACAUGAUUAUUCCCAUAAGACCCCAUCAGCCUUGGUCAGUGACAAGCAUCAGGGGACAGCCUCCUGCCCAGAUUUUGGACAGCCCCAACGCCAUGAGCCUGGGCAGCAGUGCCCGGCUGCCACCAAGUGAGCCCGGGUUGUCACACCUUGCUUGGGGGUGCCACCCAAGCCCACUGUUGUCCAAAUAGCGCUGGUCGGGAAAAGGUCACCCUGUCACCUCCUACCCCCUACAUCUUAGGGAGAGGUGGGAACAGCACGGGCAGCAGGGGUCCCACAGGGUUCCAGGCAUAGGCUUUCCUGCUUCAGGCUGGCCCUGGCCGGUGGCCUGGUUUUGGGCUUUUCUGUGCUCUGAGCACAUCUAAACAUUUGGAGAAAAACAAGAAAGCGAACAAUAGACGCUUGUGGGUUAGAGGAAUGGGCCCACUUCCCCCUGGGAGUCAGCACUGUUCAUAAGCCGCCCCAGCUGCACUCUCACGGUGGGGAUGUCACUGGAGGCUCGUUGAAUCACAGCCUUGUCCUCCUUGGGGGCCGGCUACUGGCUCCUUUUAUGUAUCGUCGGGGAUGCAAAUGCUGGUGGGGCGGACGGGUGUGCAGGGGGAAGGCAUGUUUUGCUGCCUGAAUUUUGGGAAGUCACACAGCAAAGAUGCAUCCGAGCCUGGCAUUGUCGCUCUGCCAAGGCACCCCUUGACGGACGUGUUCCGAUCAGAGCUGUCUGCCCCACGGGAAAAGAAUCAGCUUUCUAUCAAGUGGACUCUGGGCAUCGCCCCAGAGAGCUGCAGCUCCAAAGGACCCGGAGAGACCCCCAGACGACCGAGAGGGGCUGACGUGGAGUGUCCCCCGCCUGGAUGGCAUCCCUGGAAAAGGCUGGAGUGUUUCUACAGAGGCUGUUCAGACAUCACAUCACAGUCCCAGACGGCUGAGAGGUUCUUGCACUCACUUGGCUGCCCUCCCUGGGAAAUGCUUUGGAUCAGACAGCACUUCUGGGUUGUUUUUGCCUGAGGAAAGUGGCUCACAGCAUCACCCUCACCCUUGCUCUGAGAAACCAUCAUGAAAUCAAUGCAGCUUUGGAAAGGAAGGAACGUGGCAAAUCCCUAAUCACACCUCACCUUUAAAUACGGUCUUUGACCAUAUUAGGACCAGAAUUUCAUAUAUGCUCCCUAAUUUAUUCUUUUCCUUCACAACUGAACACACAGGCGACUGGCUUGAAUCCAGGGCGCGUUUGAUUGAGGCUACAUAUUCCCCCACUUUCGGCACGCCUAAUGAUUUCCAUCUUUGUCUCAAUUGUGUUUACGAGACCUGCCCUUAUCACCGGCAUCGGCGCUUCAUUUUUCCAUUUUCCACUCAUUCUUAUAAAACAACAAGGUCAAAAUGCAAUACAAUAUUCAAAUACUUGUGCAAACACUGCUGAACAGCUAAAAGGGGACGCUGCUGAGACCAAACUCUGGGCCACCAGGCAGCAUUUCCAUGCGAUGGCUUCAAAUGUCAGCUCACCUGCCAACCUGGGAGAGCUCAAAACCCGCGGGUGGAGCCAGGGGUCGGGGUGGUGGUGGUGGCGUAGACCAACGUAGAGCGUACAAAAAAGCGUGCGCCAAAGUGAAAGGUACAAGGUGAAGGUCCCCCUCUGAAGCUCAGCGGAGUAUAAAUCCUGCCACCUCCAGCCAAGAGGCCCAGGCGCUACCAUGCAAAGGGGCUGUUGGUGACGGCUUUUCUCCAGGCGGGUUGUGUUGUCUCACAGACCUGCGCCAGUACACCUUCCAACGUCUCUGAGUCUGCAGGUGUGUGCGUGAAGGGAAGGGGGUUUAGGGACCACCAUCCUGUUUUCCUAAUCUGCACACUCAUCACAGAGGGAAGUCAAUCCCGGGUAACACUUUCCCAAACAACUCGGCUGCAGGCCGAUCUGCAGGCAGGGGGCCUGGGGGCUGUUAUCAUCUCCAGAGAUAGGGGGCUUACCGGCCGACGGAGUGGUGAAAGGACACUUAGUGUUGCUUGAAGACAUUCCUAAGAAGACAGAGGAGCGCCUGGAAACAGACACCCAGGAUUUCGCUGCCGCUUAGCAACCCUGGCAGCCGGACGUGACUCGUGUCUCUAAGCUUGCGGCUCGCGUAGCCCCAGCACACUCAGCAGUUCUGAGGGAUAUACUGAGAAGAGAUUCAUCGUCUCUCCUCAGCUGUGGAAAUACCAAGAACCUUUCCUCAAAGUUUCUCGCUCUUGGAUCAGAAUCCUUUAUGUGGGAAGGAUUUGUGAGGAAGCGGUAGGUGAAAACUUCGUCUUUAUUUCAUGCCCAACGAGCUCUGUUAGAAGGGAAAGACUCCAGUCGUGGGCACAGGAGACCUGGCCUCCAGGCCCACCUCAGCCCUGCCUUCCUGAGUGGUUCUGGACAGGUUCCUUCACCUGCAAAACAAGAAGAUGGGGUCUAUAUGAGCUCUCAGCUGGAAUACUCACAGUAUUGGUGAAUUGAGACAACAUGUGAAAUGUGAAUCAAAGCAGGAGUUAAAAAAAAUACACCUCAGGAAAUAUUUAUGGUCUUCACAGCUAGAAACGUGACCAAAGCAAUGUAAGUCAACCCUGAGAUUUAUAACAAACCAUGAGGUCAGAUCUGGGGGCUCCCAGUCAGGCCUAGAACAACCACAACAAGACUGCAAAAUCCUUUGCUUCUGAAUCAAAUCCUCCCAAGCCAUUUCCUCCUCUUUCAAGUGCCCUGGAUGGAAGGGUCGCUCACCACCUCCCUUCAAGAUUCUGAGGGGGAUGGGGGCUUUGGUCACAAGUUCAAAUAAGAAAACCUCCUUUUGAUUAAGCUGAAGUCCAAGCACACUUUCCAGAGUGGCUAAGGCCCAUGUUCUGUGUUUUGCUUGAAGUUUCCAAGCCCUCGUCUGAAAGGCGGUGUCCCUUUACCCUUAAAGAAGAAAAU